UCGUUUUAUGUAGGGGAUCCCAAAUGCUGCCCAACACUUUGCUUGCCGGUUUCCAUGGCUCUCACAUUCCCAGACCAGUCCUUCCUGGAAAAGACCAACCAAGGGUUUCCCUUACCCCUGUCUUUCAAGGGUUGUGUAUAUUUUAAAAGGGUGAGCCCUUCCCUCAUUAGAGAGCUGGAUGAGGUGCCGUAUUCAGACAGACCAUUCUGGGGAUCCCGUCCUCUGUGGCCAUCUGCCUCCCUGGACUCUGCUGUGCAUGCAGAGUCAGGCACAUAUGGCAAGAUGCUAGGCACUCCAGGCUGGGAGGUGAGUGCCUACUGCCGGCAUCUACACAUCGUGGAGCCGCCAAUACUUUUAUUUAUUUACUUACUUAAUUAUUUUGAUUAGCCAGCAGACCAGGGCACAGUGGUGACUUAGAACUUGGAAACUUGGUGUCAAGGAAGAUGUCCACUAUUGAAUUGAACUAGCUGUGGGGGAAUUAGGAGAUGGAGCUCAGGGAGGUGUAACAUGUGAUUUGGGGAAGUUUCCUGACCAUGAAAGACAAGUAGGACCUAGCCAGUAAAGUGUGUGAAAAUGCCCCAAGUAUUCUUCCACUUUGACACCAUUCAAAAAAAAAAAAAAAAAAAAAAAGACAAAUCCCUUUGACCUAGGACAAUGAACGACAACAAUUUUCAUGGGUCUUUUUUCCUUUCCCCUUCCCUACAUUUUUUUAGUUGUAUGAAUAGACUGGCUCUGUUACAAGAAUAAAUAGACGAAUUCCUCAGGGUUGUAUCCCUACCAGUGUGCUUCAUAGGAUGGGAGUAGUUUUAGAGACCAGAUAGUAUUUGAACUACAAAAGAUGGAAAAACAGAAUGGUUUUGCCAUAUUCCUUUUGACCCAAGGCUCCAUUGGAAUCUCAUUCUUUUUCUUAUUCUGGAAUUUAGUGUCUGUGAUUAUUAAGAUUGCAGUAAGAUCUUUUCUUCAUUGGAGAACUGGACUCCUGGUUUAGCAAGAGUAUUCCACAGAUGUCACAUGCCUGACGGUCUUAGGUGUCAGGGAUGCAGCAGUAGGAUUACAUUUUCAUUUAACCCCCUGUUUCUGUAGAACUUACUUCACAGGUUACAGAUACACACAUUCAUAACUGAGAGGGAAGAGUGAGGUGGUUGGUAUAGGAGAACGCAGAAAGAUGCUACUGGUGACCUCCACAAGAGCAGUUUGAAAAUAAGACCAAACGGGGUUGGGGAUUUAGCUCAGUGGUAGAGCGCUUGCCUAGGAAGCGCAAGGCCCUGGGUUCGGUCCCCAGCUCCG
Molecule: long non-coding RNA, 1287 nt
Filed under: Rattus norvegicus (Norway rat)
Lineage: Eukaryota; Metazoa; Chordata; Mammalia; Rodentia; Muridae
Description: long non-coding RNA NONRATT011276
Rfam family: tRNA (bases 1219-1287)
Source: RNAcentral